CACGUAGGCGGAUUGUUAAGUCAGGGGUGAAAUCCUGGAGCUCAACUCCAGAACUGCCUUUGAUACUGACGGUCUUGAGUCCGGGAGAGGUGAGUGGAACUGCGAGUGUAGAGGUGAAAUUCGUAGAUAUUCGCAAGAACACCAGUGGCGAAGGCGGCUCACUGGCCCGGUACUGACGCUGAGGUGCGAAAGCGUGGGAGCAAACA
This 206-nucleotide ribosomal RNA is filed under the name uncultured bacterium. RNAcentral's name for it is "partial 16S ribosomal RNA". It matches the Rfam family "Bacterial small subunit ribosomal RNA", at positions 568 to 774 of the family's 1533-position model. The record is from RNAcentral.